RNAcentral lists this microRNA precursor (62 nucleotides) under Callorhinchus milii (elephant shark). RNAcentral's name for it is "Cmi-Mir-15-P2c_pre stem-loop". It matches the Rfam family "mir-16 microRNA precursor family", at positions 10 to 75 of the family's 82-position model. Rfam says of the family: The hairpin precursors (represented here) are predicted based on base pairing and cross-species conservation -- their extents are not known. In this case the mature sequence is excised from the 5' arm of the hairpin. Lineage: Eukaryota; Metazoa; Chordata; Chondrichthyes; Chimaeriformes; Callorhinchidae. The record is from RNAcentral.
UAGCAGCACGUAAAUACUGGAGUUGAGAUCCCUGUGUCUCCAGUAUUGCCAAUGCUGCUCUA